AAAAUACUCCCUCCGUCCCAAAAUACUUGUCGAAGAAAUUGAUAAAAAUAGAUGUAUCUAGAAUUAAAAUAUGUCUAGAUACAUCCAUUUCUCCGACGAGGAUUUCCGGACAGAGGUAGUAUUAC
Non-coding RNA from Triticum aestivum (bread wheat), 125 nucleotides. Lineage: Eukaryota; Viridiplantae; Streptophyta; Magnoliopsida; Poales; Poaceae. The record is from Rfam.